AUUGAACGCUGGCGGCAUGCCUUACACAUGCAAGUCGAACGGCAGCACGGGAGCAAUCCUGGUGGCGAGUGGCGAACGGGUGAGUAAUAUAUCGGAACGUGCCCAGUCGUGGGGAUAACGUAGCGAAAGCUACGCUAAUACCGCAUACGAUCUAUGGAUGAAAGCGGGGGAUCGCAAGACCUCGCGCGAUUGGAGCGGCCGAUAUCAGAUUAGGUAGUUGGUGAGGUAAAGGCUCACCAAGCCGACGAUCUGUAGCUGGUCUGAGAGGACGACCAGCCACACUGGGACUGAGACACGGCCCAGACUCCUACGGGAGGCAGCAGUGGGGAAUUUUGGACAAUGGACGCAAGUCUGAUCCAGCCAUUCCGCGUGCAGGAUGAAGGCCCUCGGGUUGUAAACUGCUUUUGUACGGAACGAAAGGUUUCUAUUAAUACUAGGAGCUCAUGACGGUACCGUAAGGAAUAAGCACCGGCUAACUACGUGCCAG
Molecule: ribosomal RNA, 487 nt
Filed under: uncultured bacterium
Lineage: Bacteria
Description: bacterial SSU rRNA
Rfam family: Bacterial small subunit ribosomal RNA
Source: RNAcentral